UUUUGGCUUUUCAUUUUGCUCCUUGAGCCUUAUCCAUGGCGGCAACAACAACAGCAAUAGCCUUAACCCUUUCUUCCUUUACCCUUAGUUCUACCAUUCCUUCCAAAACCUUCUUCUUCUCCAAACCCUCAAAACCAAUUUCUCUCCGCCGCACAUUCCGCCCUCUUUCCCUCACACCACAAGCUAAAUCCUCCGACAUCGACACUUCCUUUUUCGACGAUGUCAACCCCGAAGAAGACAUCGUUUUCGACCCACCAACACCACCAGAAGGUUUC
This 275-nucleotide long non-coding RNA is filed under the name Gossypium barbadense (sea-island cotton). RNAcentral describes it as "long non-coding RNA (GBAR_LNC005825)". The record is from RNAcentral. Lineage: Eukaryota; Viridiplantae; Streptophyta; Magnoliopsida; Malvales; Malvaceae.